RNAcentral lists this ribosomal RNA (467 nucleotides) under uncultured bacterium. RNAcentral describes it as "partial 16S ribosomal RNA". It matches the Rfam family "Bacterial small subunit ribosomal RNA", at positions 29 to 507 of the family's 1533-position model. The record is from RNAcentral.
ACGCACGCUGGCGGCGUGCUUAACACCUGCCAGUCGAACGGAAAGGCCCUGCUUUUGUGGGGUGCUCGAGUGGCGAACGGGUGAGUAACACGUGAGUAACCUGCCCUUGACUUUGGGAUAACUUUAGGAAACUGGGGCUAAUACCGGAUAGGAGCUCCUGCUGCAUGGUGGGGGUUGGAAAGUUUCGGCGGUUGGGGAUGGACUCGCGGCUUAUCAGCUUGUUGGUGGGGUAGUGGCUUACCAAGGCUUUGACGGGUAGCCGGCCUGAGAGGGUGACCGGCCACAUUGGGACUGAGAUACGGCCCAGACUCUUACGGGAGGCAGCAGUGGGGAAUAUUGCACAAUGGGCGGAAGCCUGAUGCAGCAACGCCGCGUGCGGGAUGACGGCCUUCGGGUUGUAAACCGCUUUCGCCUGUGACGAAGCGUGAGUGACGGUAAUGGGUAAAGAAGCACCGGCUAACUACGUG